This 468-nucleotide ribosomal RNA is filed under the name uncultured bacterium. Its description in RNAcentral is "partial 16S ribosomal RNA". It matches the Rfam family "Bacterial small subunit ribosomal RNA", at positions 28 to 507 of the family's 1533-position model. The record is from RNAcentral.
GAUGAACGCUGGCGGCGUGCUUAACACAUGCAAGUCGAACGGAAAGGCCCAAGCUUGCUUGGGUACUCGAGUGGCGAACGGGUGAGUAACACGUGGGUGAUCUGCCCUGCACUUCGGGAUAAGCCUGGGAAACUGGGUCUAAUACCGGAUAGGACGAUGGUUUGGAUGCCAUUGUGGAAAGUUUUUUCGGUGUGGGAUGAGCUCGCGGCCUAUCAGCUUGUUGGUGGGGUAAUGGCCUACCAAGGCGUCGACGGGUAGCCGGCCUGAGAGGGUGUACGGCCACAUUGGGACUGAGAUACGGCCCAGACUCCUACGGGAGGCGGCAAUGGGGAAUAUUGCACAAUGGGCGCAAGCCUGAUGCAGCGACGCCGCGUGGGGGAUGACGGCCUUCGGGUUGUAAACUCCUUUCGCUAGGGACGAAGCGUUUUUGUGACGGUACCUGGAGAAGAAGCACCGGCUAACUACGUG